AGAACGAACGCUGGCGGCAGGCCUAAAACAUGCAAGUCGAACGCUCUAGCAAUAGAGAGUGGCGCACGGGUGCGUAACAUGUGGGAAUAUGCCUUUUGGUACGGAACAACUUUUGGAAACGAAAGCUAAUACCGUAUGGUCCCUUCGGGGUAAAGAUUUAUCGCCAAAAGAGUAGCCCGCACUGGAUUAGCUAGUUGGUGAGGUAAUGGCUCACCAAGGCGACGAUCCAUAGCUGGUCUGAGAGGACGAUCAGCCACACUGGGACUGAGACACGGCCCAGACUCCUACGGGAGGCAGCAGUUAGGAAUCUUGGACAAUGGGCGCAAGCCUGAUCCAGCCAUGCCGCGUGAGUGAUGAAGGCCUUCGGGUUGUAAAGCUCUUUAGUCCACGAAUAUAAUGACUGUAGUGGAAGAAUAAGCCCGGCUAACUUCGUGCCAGCAGCCGC
RNAcentral lists this ribosomal RNA (445 nucleotides) under uncultured bacterium. RNAcentral describes it as "SSU rRNA". It matches the Rfam family "Bacterial small subunit ribosomal RNA", at positions 26 to 518 of the family's 1533-position model. The record is from RNAcentral.